UGGGGCGUGGCCAAGUGGUACGGCAGCGGCUUUUGAUGCCGAAGAUCGCAGGUUCGAAUCCUGCCGCCCCAGCCA
RNAcentral lists this transfer RNA (75 nucleotides) under Hyphomicrobiales bacterium. RNAcentral describes it as "tRNA-Gln". It matches the Rfam family "tRNA". Rfam says of the family: Transfer RNA (tRNA) molecules are approximately 80 nucleotides in length. The record is from RNAcentral. Lineage: Bacteria; Pseudomonadati; Pseudomonadota; Alphaproteobacteria; Hyphomicrobiales. RNAcentral also lists the same sequence under 1 other name.